UUCCCGCGAACACAUGUGCUCAGCACCGGCAUAUUUACCGUGUUCAUACAUAUUGUGUGCCUUUAUUGCGUGCUUAUCGUACUUGACAUUCGUCGACUGGACAUUUUGCACGUUUCGGAACGUCCUCCUGCAUUGAUCAAGGGGAGUGAUGCGUCGUCGUUCGUCGCCGCUCAAAACUGCCUCAUCGGACGCGCAGCUUGGUCUCCGCGCUCAAAAGUGCUUUCUUGCUUCGUUUAUCGAUUACUCACGUUGAUCGCGUGAUUCAAUAUUGAGUGUACUACCUCCAAAGACAAUCCACGUCCCAGUGUUGUGACAAGCGGCGACCGCGGUUGUACAGGAGCGGAAGCGUGAGCCUUUCGACGAGCGACUGUGAAGAAUGCAAAGCCAAUGCCAAACUUCGGAACCGAUAGCCCGGGCGGCGUGUUGGCACAGCGAGGAUGAUGAACCAGAGACCCGAUAGACAGCGAUGACAGCUGUUCACGGCACCGACACAGAGGACAGAUUGCAGUGCUAGAUAGGAGCGGUCUUCCUGCAAGCCCAGACAAGUCAUAUUGAGUGGUUUCAAAUACAGCAACUGUACCACCACGACAGUGCAGCACAAGAGACCCUAUCGUCAGUGCCGAGUCAGAAAUUAAAUAGAAAAGCGCUUUAUCCUGAAAUCUUUCAUCUGAUCUUAUUUCAUUUGUUUGUGAUUAUAAAACAGCGCUUUCGUAGGAAAUACAAAAUUUACCUAGCCCCGUUUAUUGUCCUAUUGAAACUAAAUAGGUUGACAAUUUAGUGCUUGUUUAUAAAUGCAUGUAUCAUAGACCUGCAAGAUCAUUUAUUGGCUUCGAAAGACUGUUACAUGUAAAGAAGAAUGGUGAUCUAGUCAUUGCUGGAAAUGGUCUGCUGGCAUUUAUGUGACAACCCUCUAAAGCAUACGCACUUUCGUAUUAUUAACGAAAAAAUAUUUACUG
Molecule: long non-coding RNA, 956 nt
Organism: Rhipicephalus sanguineus (brown dog tick)
Lineage: Eukaryota; Metazoa; Arthropoda; Arachnida; Ixodida; Ixodidae
Exons: 4
Source: RefSeq, a predicted model, not a curated record